UAGGGAAUCUUCGGCAAUGGACGAAAGUCUGACCGAGCAACGCCGCGUGAGUGAAGAAGGUUUUCGGAUCGUAAAACUCUGUUGUUAGAGAAGAACAAGGACGUUAGUAACUGAACGUCCCCUGACGGUAUCUAACCAGAAAGCCACGGCUAACUACGUGCCAGCAGCCGCGGUAAUACGUAGGUGGCAAGCGUUGUCCGGAUUUAUUGGGCGUAAAGCGAGCGCAGGCGGUUUCUUAAGUCUGAUGUGAAAGCCCCCGGCUCAACCGGGGAGGGUCAUUGGAAACUGGGAGACUUGAGUGCAGAAGAGGGGAGUGUAAUUCCAUGUGUAGCGGUGAAAUGCGUAGAUAUAUGGAGGAACACCAGUGGCGAAGGCGGCUCUCUGGUCUGUAACUGACGCUGAGGCUCGAAAGCGUGGGGAGCAAACAGG
RNAcentral lists this ribosomal RNA (429 nucleotides) under Gemmatimonadota bacterium. RNAcentral describes it as "Gemmatimonadetes bacterium partial 16S ribosomal RNA". It matches the Rfam family "Bacterial small subunit ribosomal RNA", at positions 355 to 776 of the family's 1533-position model. The record is from RNAcentral. Lineage: Bacteria; Pseudomonadati; Gemmatimonadota.